Molecule: ribosomal RNA, 301 nt
Filed under: uncultured bacterium
Lineage: Bacteria
Description: partial 16S ribosomal RNA
Rfam family: Bacterial small subunit ribosomal RNA
Source: RNAcentral
CAGUAGCCGCGGUAAUACGGAGGAUCCAAGCGUUAUCCGGAAUCAUUGGGUUUAAAGGGUCCGUAGGCGGUCUUGUAAGUCAGUGGUGAAAGCCCAUCGCUCAACGGUGGAACGGCCAUUGAUACUGCAGGACUUGAAUUAUUGGGAAGUAACUAGAAUAUGUAGUGUAGCGGUGAAAUGCUUAGAGAUUACAUGGAAUACCAAUUGCGAAGGCAGGUUACUACCAAUUGAUUGACGCUGAUGGACGAAAGCGUGGGUAGCGAACAGGAUUAGAUACCCCGGUAGUCCCUGUCUCUUAUAU